RNAcentral lists this ribosomal RNA (496 nucleotides) under uncultured bacterium. RNAcentral describes it as "partial 16S ribosomal RNA". It matches the Rfam family "Bacterial small subunit ribosomal RNA", at positions 28 to 507 of the family's 1533-position model. The record is from RNAcentral.
GAUGAACGCUGGCGGCGUGCCUAAUACAUGCAAGUCGAGCGAACGGACGAGAAGCUUGCUUCUCUGAUGUUAGCGGCGGACGGGUGAGUAACACGUGGAUAACCUACCUAUAAGACUGGGAUAACUUCGGGAAACCGGAGCUAAUACCGGAUGAUAUUUUGAACCGCAUGGUUCAAAAGUGAAAGACGGUCUUGCUGUCACUUAUAGAUGGAUCCGCGCUGCAUUAGCUAGUUGGUAAGGUAACGGCUUACCAAGGCAACGAUGCAUAGCCGACCUGAGAGGGGGAUCGGCCCCCCGGGACCUGGGACCCGGUCCGGCCCCUGACGGGGGGCAGCGUAGGGGAAUCUGCCGCAAUGGCGAAAGCCUGACGGAGCAACGCCGCGUGAGUGAUGAAGGUCUUCGGAUCGUAAAACUCUGUUAUUAGGGAAGAACAUAUGUGUAAGUAACUGUGCACAUCUUGACGGUACCUAAUCAGAAAGCCACGGCUAACUACGUG